RNAcentral lists this unclassified non-coding RNA (242 nucleotides) under Hevea brasiliensis (rubber tree). Lineage: Eukaryota; Viridiplantae; Streptophyta; Magnoliopsida; Malpighiales; Euphorbiaceae. The record is from RNAcentral.
UGGUGCACAAUACUUCAAAGAUGAUCCAUUUGCAAUAAGUCUAGCCUAUGUUCUUGCAGAAUUAGUGAGCACCACGCCAUCGCGUCAAGGAUAUGACUACCACAACAUUUCUCCAUACCCCAAUGCUUUUGCAUAUGGACAUGCUGCUUGCAACAACAACACUACUACUACUUCUCUAACCAAACAAGAUUGUAAGACUUGCUUGGAUUCAGCUAAAGAUAACUUGCUUACUAGUUGUGAUG